Molecule: ribosomal RNA, 441 nt
Filed under: Yersinia enterocolitica
Lineage: Bacteria; Pseudomonadati; Pseudomonadota; Gammaproteobacteria; Enterobacterales; Yersiniaceae
Description: partial 23S ribosomal RNA
Rfam family: Bacterial large subunit ribosomal RNA
Source: RNAcentral
AAAGGCCAAUCAAACCGGGAGAUAGCUGGUUCUCCCCGAAAGCUAUUUAGGUAGCGCCUCGUGAACUCAUCUUCGGGGGUAGAGCACUGUUUCGGCUAGGGGGUCAUCCCGACUUACCAAACCGAUGCAAACUCCGAAUACCGAAGAAUGUUAUCACGGGAGACACACGGCGGGUGCUAACGUCCGUCGUGAAGAGGGAAACAACCCAGACCGCCAGCUAAGGUCCCAAAGUCAUGGUUAAGUGGGAAACGAUGUGGGAAGGCACAGACAGCCAGGAUGUUGGCUUAGAAGCAGCCAUCAUUUAAAGAAAGCGUAAUAGCUCACUGGUCGAGUCGGCCUGCGCGGAAGAUGUAACGGGGCUAAACCAUGCACCGAAGCUGCGGCAGCGAACGUAUCACUUAAAACGCUUAACGUGACGGCAAAGCCGGCAUGUUCAAGCCA